GCUUUGGGGGUUCAGUGGUAGAAUCCUCACCUUCCAUGCAAGAGACCCGGGUUCGAUUCCCGGCCAGUGUA
This 71-nucleotide transfer RNA is filed under the name Loxodonta africana (African savanna elephant). It matches the Rfam family "tRNA". Rfam says of the family: Transfer RNA (tRNA) molecules are approximately 80 nucleotides in length. Their secondary structure includes four short double-helical elements and three loops (D, anti-codon, and T loops). The record is from Rfam by way of RNAcentral. Lineage: Eukaryota; Metazoa; Chordata; Mammalia; Proboscidea; Elephantidae.